Molecule: ribosomal RNA, 162 nt
Filed under: Eubacterium sp. AF17-7
Lineage: Bacteria; Bacillati; Bacillota; Clostridia; Eubacteriales; Eubacteriaceae
Description: partial 16S ribosomal RNA
Rfam family: Bacterial small subunit ribosomal RNA
Source: RNAcentral
UUUAAACGAGAGUUUGAUCCUGGCUCAGGAUGAACGCUGGCGGCGUGCUUAACACAUGCAAGUCGAACGAAGCACCUUAGACAGAAGCCUUCGGGCGGAAGACUUUGGUGACUUAGUGGCGGACGGGUGAGUAACGCGUGGGUAACCUGCCCUGUACCGGGG